Molecule: ribosomal RNA, 468 nt
Filed under: uncultured bacterium
Lineage: Bacteria
Description: partial 16S ribosomal RNA
Rfam family: Bacterial small subunit ribosomal RNA
Source: RNAcentral
GACGAACGCUGGCGGCGUGCUUAACACAUGCAAGUCGAACGGAAAGGCCCUGCUUUUGUGGGGUGCUCGAGUGGCGAACGGGUGAGUAACACGUGAGUAACCUGCCCUUGACUUUGGGAUAACUUCAGGAAACUGGGGCUAAUACCGGAUAUGAGCUCCUGCUGCAUGGUGGGGGUUGGAAAGUUUCGGCGGUUGGGGAUGGACUCGCGGCUUAUCAGCUUGUUGGUGGGGUAGUGGCUUACCAAGGCUUUGACGGGUAGCCGGCCUGAGAGGGUGACCGGCCACAUUGGGACUGAGAUACGGCGCAGACUCCUACGGGAGGCAGCAGUGGGGAAUAUUGCACAAUGGGCGGAAGCCUGAUGCAGCAACGCCGCGUGCGGGAUGACGGCCUUCGGGUUGUAAACCGUUUUCGCCGGUGACGAAGAGUGAGUGACGGUAAUGGGUAAAGAAGCACCGGCUAACUACGUG